RNAcentral lists this ribosomal RNA (601 nucleotides) under Pelophylax nigromaculatus (dark-spotted frog). RNAcentral describes it as "partial large subunit ribosomal RNA". It matches the Rfam family "Bacterial large subunit ribosomal RNA", at positions 1796 to 2620 of the family's 2925-position model. Lineage: Eukaryota; Metazoa; Chordata; Amphibia; Anura; Ranidae. The record is from RNAcentral.
UCGCCUGUUUUUUACAAAAACAUCGCCUCUUGAUUAAACAUAAGAGGUCCAGCCUGCCCAGUGACAUAGUUUAACGGCCGCGGUACCCUAACCGUGCGAAGGUAGCAUAAUCACUUGUUCUUUAAAUAGGGACUCGUAUCAACGGCAUCACGAGGGCUAUACUGUCUCCUUUCUCCAAUCAAUGAAACUGAUCUCCCCGUGAAGAAGCGGGGAUUAACCUAUAAGACGAGAAGACCCCAUGGAGCUUCAAACUCAACAUAUACCUCUACGCACUUAAACCACUUUAGCCCAAGAGACCUCUAUGUUAGUUUUGGGUUGGGGGGACCGCGGAGUAAAAAUUAACCUCCACGACAAACGGGCUUUAUGCCCUUAUCCACGAACCACAGCUCUAAGAAUCAAUAAACUGAUGUUUAUGACCCGAUUAUUCGAUCAACGAACCAAGUUACCCUGGGGAUAACAGCGCAAUCUACUUCAAGAGCCCCUAUCGACAAGUAGGUUUACGACCUCGAUGUUGGAUCAGGGUAUCCUAGUGGUGCAGCCGCUACUAAUGGUUCGUUUGUUCAACGAUUAAAACCCUACGUGAUCUGAUUCCCAGACCGGA